Molecule: ribosomal RNA, 484 nt
Filed under: uncultured bacterium
Lineage: Bacteria
Description: partial 16S ribosomal RNA
Rfam family: Bacterial small subunit ribosomal RNA
Source: RNAcentral
GACGAACGCUGGCGGCGUGCUUAACACAUGCAAGUCGAACGAUGAAGCCGGAGCUUGCUCUGGUGAAUUAGUGGCGAACGGGUGAGUAACACGUGAGUAACCUGCCCUUGACUCUGGGAUAACUGCGGGAAACUGUAGCUAAUACCGGAUACGACCCUCGGAGGCAUCUCCUGGGGGUGGAAAGAAUUUCGGUCAAGGAUGGACUCGCGGCCUAUCAGCUAGUUGGUGAGGUAAAGGCUCACCAAGGCGACGAUGGGUAGCCGGCCUGAGAGGGCGACCGGCCACACUGGGACUGAGACACGGCCCAGACUCCUACGGGAGGCAGCAGUGGGGAAUAUUGCACAAUGGGCGCAAGCCUGAUGCAGCGACGCCGCGUGAGGGAUGAAGGUCUUCGGAUUGUAAACCUCUUUCAGUAGGGACGAAGCGAAAGUGACGGUACCUAAAGAAGAAGCACCGGCUAACUACGUGCCAGCCGCCGCGGUAA